RNAcentral lists this transfer RNA (72 nucleotides) under Epimedium wushanense. RNAcentral's name for it is "tRNA-Ile". Lineage: Eukaryota; Viridiplantae; Streptophyta; Magnoliopsida; Ranunculales; Berberidaceae. The record is from RNAcentral.
GUUGUGCCUGGGCUGUGAGGGCUCUCAGCCACAUGGAGGGAAAAGAAUCGAAGAAGCAUCUGACUCCUUCAU